UACAUGUGGGGCAAGCGUUGUUCGGAAUUACUGGGCAUAAAGGGUGCGUAGGCGGUUUGUUAAGUCACUGGUGAAAGUUUUCGGCCCAACCGGAAAAUUGCCUGUGAUACUGGCGAAUUUGAGUGCGUGAGGGGUGGGGGGAACGAGCAGUGUAGCGGUGAAAUGCGUAGAUAUUGCUCGGAAGGCCGGAGCCGAAGGGGCCCCACUGGUACGUAACUGACGCUGAGGCACGAAAGCGUGGGGAGCAAACAGG
Molecule: ribosomal RNA, 253 nt
Filed under: uncultured bacterium
Lineage: Bacteria
Description: partial 16S ribosomal RNA
Rfam family: Bacterial small subunit ribosomal RNA
Source: RNAcentral